UUAUAAACAGAGUCAGCAGAAACUCUGGGUCAGGGUCAUGAAUGCUACUCAAAUCAGACCUAUGGAUGACAAUGGUUUGAGUGAUCCGUACGUGAUAGUGUACCUACAGCCUCACCUCGUCUUUCCUCAGACUCACUUCCAGAA
This is a long non-coding RNA of Strongylocentrotus purpuratus (purple sea urchin), 144 nucleotides long. RefSeq lists it as uncharacterized. The record is from RefSeq and is a predicted model, not a curated record. NCBI's taxonomy places the organism in Eukaryota, Metazoa, Echinodermata, Echinoidea, Camarodonta, Strongylocentrotidae. The transcript is spliced from 2 exons.